RNAcentral lists this ribosomal RNA (425 nucleotides) under uncultured bacterium. RNAcentral's name for it is "bacterial SSU rRNA". It matches the Rfam family "Bacterial small subunit ribosomal RNA", at positions 356 to 773 of the family's 1533-position model. The record is from RNAcentral.
GGGGAAUAUUGGACAAUGGGGGAAACCCUGAUCCAGCCAUGCCGCGUGUGUGAAGAAGGUCUUAGGAUUGUAAAGCACUUUAAGUUGGGAGGAAGGGCAGUUAACUAAUAUUUGACUGUUUUGGCGUUACCGACAGAAUAAGCACCGGCUAACUUCGUGCCAGCAGCCGCGGUAAUACGAAGGGUGCAAGCGUUAAUCGGAAUUACUGGGCGUAAAGCGCGCGUAGGUGGUUCGUUAAGUUAGGAGUGAAAGCCCCGGGCUCAACCUGGGAAUUGCUUCUAAAACUGGCGAGCUAGAGUAUGGUAGAGGGUGGUGGAAUUUCCUGUGUAGCGGUGAAAUGCGUAGAUAUAGGAAGGAACAUCAGUGGCGAAGGCGACCACCUGGACUAAUACUGACACUGAGGUGCGAAAGCGUGGGGAGCAAAC